CAUGGGGACUAGUGCUGGAAUGGGACGCUGCUGGAAGCAAGAGGUCUUAGGAGUGUCCUCCCUGGCUCCUCCAGUGGUGUCCUGGCCUCCCUCCUAGUUGGUGCUGGUGGAAAGCAUCUCUGAAGAGGAGGUGUGAACCUGCCACGUAAGAGGCCUCGGGUUCUCCUUUGCCAAGAUCCCUCCGCGGUCUUUGGCAGCGGCUGGGGCCAAAGCCCGGGCAAGACCAACGCCUUCGGCACCCGGACUCAGGCUCCGUCCUCUCUGCCAGCGUGCGGCUACAAUGACUCGACAUGGCAGGCCACUGCCUUCAGAGAAGGUGACAGAGGGCCAUGUCUGAAACAUUCUCCCACAACCAGGAACCCUCAGCAGCCGCUGAAGAGGAAAGGCAGUUAAAUGGAAAGACUUCUGAGCAAGUGGAGGAAAAGUCACGUGUGACCUAGGGAGGGGCUCCCACAGGAAGGGGCAAUGCCCUUGCCCUGUUCACCUAGCCUCCAGGUGGCUUCCCACUUGAAAUUUCAGAGGAUGGCAGAAACCUACUUACAAGGAAAUGAAAGAGGGCACAGCAACCUUAAGACCAGAGCAGCCCACGAUAUUUUUUAAUGAGGGCAAAAAUAGAAGACUUGCAAAAGACCCCUGAAAAUAAUGCCUGGAAGCUGCGAAACAUCAGACUGACACCGCACAAAAGAGGUCCAGCUGAGCAGGAGAAAAGCUUGAGAAGCAUCCAGAACAAUGUAGGUGGAGAGGCUAAGAAGAAAGAGGAGCCCACAUGGAAUGAAUAACCAAGGUCGGGACAGAGGAAGGUUCGCCAGAACUGGGAGGGCUGAAAUUGGACAUUGAGAUAAAUUAAAGAGUGUUCUUUAAAACUGUCAA
This 870-nucleotide long non-coding RNA is filed under the name Homo sapiens (human). Its description in RNAcentral is "HSALNT0314365". Lineage: Eukaryota; Metazoa; Chordata; Mammalia; Primates; Hominidae. The record is from RNAcentral.